Molecule: ribosomal RNA, 506 nt
Filed under: uncultured bacterium
Lineage: Bacteria
Description: partial 16S ribosomal RNA
Rfam family: Bacterial small subunit ribosomal RNA
Source: RNAcentral
AGUGAACGCUGGCGGUAGGCCUAACACAUGCAAGUCGAACCGCAGCACAGGAGAGCUUGCUCUCUGGGUGGCGAGUGGCGGACGGGUGAGGAAUACAUCGGAAUCUACUCUGUCGUGGGGGAUAACGUAGGGAAACUUACGCUAAUACCGCAUACGACCUACGGGUGAAAGCAGGGGAUCUUCGGACCUUGCGCGAUUGAAUGAGCCGAUGUCGGGUUAGCUAGUUGGCGGGGUAAAGGCCCACCAAGGCGACGAUCCGUAGCUGGUCUGAGAGGAUGAUCAGCCACACUGGAACGGAGACACGGUCCAGACUCCUACGGGAGGCAGCAGUGGGGAAUAUUGGACAAUGGGCGCAAGCCUGAUCCAGCCAUACCGCGUGGGUGAAGAAGGCCUUCGGGUUGUAAAGCCCUUUUGUUGGGAAAGAAAUCCAGCCGGCUAAUACCUGGUUGGGAUGACGGUACCCAAAGAAUAAGCACCGGCUAACUUCGUGCCAGCCGCCGCCGUAA